UACAGAGGUCUCAAGCGUUGUUCGGAUUCAUUGGGCGUAAAGGGUGCGUAGGCGGCGCGGUAAGUCGGGUGUGAAAUCUCGGAGCUUAACUCCGAAACUGCAUUCGAUACUGCCGUGCUUGAGGACUGGAGAGGAGACUGGAAUUUACGGUGUAGCGGUGAAAUGCGUAGAUAUCGUAAGGAAGACCAGUGGCGAAGGCGGGUCUCUGGACAGUUCCUGACGCUGAGGCGCGAAAGCUAGGGGAGCGAACGGG
Molecule: ribosomal RNA, 253 nt
Filed under: uncultured bacterium
Lineage: Bacteria
Description: partial 16S ribosomal RNA
Rfam family: Bacterial small subunit ribosomal RNA
Source: RNAcentral